AACAGAAUAAAACAAAAUAAAACAAAACAAAACAAAAAACAAAAAUAGAGGCAGCUCCAUCUCUUUCGCUCAAUCAUUUUCAAGGGGAAAAUCUCUCUCCUUCCUUUUUUUCUCUUUUCUCUUUUCUCUUUUCUCUUUCUCUUUCUCU
RNAcentral lists this non-coding RNA (148 nucleotides) under Paramoeba aestuarina. The record is from RNAcentral. Lineage: Eukaryota; Discosea; Flabellinia; Dactylopodida; Paramoebidae.